UCCGACGGCGCCGAUGUCAUUCUGGUGGUAGUCGACCGUCUCUCCAAGUACGCGCAUUUCAUUCCUCUCCAUCACCCCUUCACUGCAACUCAGGUGGCCCGCGCUUUCCUCGACAAUAUUGUCAAGCUUCAUGGGGUCCCUCUCUCGAUCGUCUCUGAUCGCGACAAGAUCUUCACAAGCGCAUUCUGGCGUGAGCUUUUUGCACUGGUGGGCACGAAACUGCUCUACACCACAACAUACCAUCCUCAGACGGACGGGCAGAGUGAAAGGGUGAAUCAGUGCCUUGAGCACUAUUUGCGUUGUGCCGUCCACGACACUCCUCACCGCUGGAAGCGCUGGCUGCCAAUGGCAGAGUUCUGGUAUAAUUCAAGCCAUCAUAGUGCCAUCAACUGUUCUCCAUUCAAGGCUCUGUAUGGAGUGGAACCAAAUUUUGGUGCUCUUCCCAACCUAUUCAACACCAAGACACCAGAAUCGCUGCAUCAGCUGGCGGCAGAACACCAACAGUUCACCGAGAUGCUAAAAACAAAUCUGCUGCGUGCACAACAUCGAAUGAAACAUCAAGCGGACCGCAAGCGCACCAACAGGGAAUUUCAAGUAGGAGAUCAGGUCUUGCUCAAGCUGCAACCCUAUGUUCAGUCUUCCGUGGUGAGCAGACCAUGUCCAAAGCUUGCGUACAAAUUCUUUGGGCCGUACAAGGUCAUCAGCCGUGUCGGAUCCCUAGCAUACAAGCUCGACUUGCCUCACGAAAGUAGGAUUCAUCCGGUAUUUCACAUUUCUCAAUUGAAGCCAUUCACA
RNAcentral lists this ribosomal RNA (795 nucleotides) under Triticum aestivum (bread wheat). RNAcentral describes it as "partial small subunit ribosomal RNA". The record is from RNAcentral. Lineage: Eukaryota; Viridiplantae; Streptophyta; Magnoliopsida; Poales; Poaceae.